Molecule: ribosomal RNA, 724 nt
Filed under: uncultured Ascomycota
Lineage: Eukaryota; Fungi; Ascomycota
Description: SSU rRNA
Rfam family: Eukaryotic small subunit ribosomal RNA
Source: RNAcentral
ACAUCCAAGGAAGGCAGCAGGCGCGCAAAUUACCCAAUCCCGACUCGGGGAGGUAGUGACAAUAAAUACUGAUACAGGGUUCUUUUGGAUCUUGUAAUUGGAAUGAGUACAAUUUAAAUCCCUUAACGAGGAACAAUUGGAGGGCAAGUCUGGUGCCAGCAGCCGCGGUAAUUCCAGCUCCAAUAGCGUAUAUUAAAGUUGUUGUGGUUAAAAAGCUCGUAGUUGAACCUUGGGCCUGGCUGGCCGGUCCGCCUCACCGCGUGUACUGGUCCGGCCGGGCCUUUCCCUCUGUGGAACCCUAUGCCCUUCACUGGGUGUAGCGGGGAAACAGGACUUUUACUUUGAAAAAAUUAGAGUGCUCCAGGCAGGCCUUUGCUCGAAUACAUUAGCAUGGAAUAAUAAAAUAGGACGUGUGGUUCUAUUUUGUUGGUUUCUAGGACCGCCGUAAUGAUUAAUAGGGACAGUCGGGGGCAUCAGUAUUCAAUUGUCAGAGGUGAAAUUCUUGGAUUUAUUGAAGACUAACUACUGCGAAAGCAUUUGCCAAGGAUGUUUUCAUUAAUCAGGAACGAAAGUUAGGGGAUCGAAGACGAUCAGAUACCGUCGUAGUCUUAACCAUAAACUAUGCCGACUAGGGAUCGGACGAUGUUAAAAAUUGACUCGUUCGGCACCUUACGAGAAAUCAAAGUGCUUGGGCUCCAGGGGGAGUAUGGUCGCAAGGCUGAAA